GCGGGACUGGCGGAAUUGGUAGACGCGCUAGAUUCAGGUUCUAGUGCCCGUUUAGGGCUUCCGGGUUCAAGUCCCGGGUUCCGCACUA
Molecule: transfer RNA, 88 nt
Filed under: Mastigocoleus testarum BC008
Lineage: Bacteria; Bacillati; Cyanobacteriota; Cyanophyceae; Nostocales; Hapalosiphonaceae
Description: tRNA-Leu
Rfam family: tRNA
About the family: Transfer RNA (tRNA) molecules are approximately 80 nucleotides in length. Their secondary structure includes four short double-helical elements and three loops (D, anti-codon, and T loops). Further hydrogen bonds mediate the characteristic L-shaped molecular structure. tRNAs have two regions of fundamental functional importance: the anti-codon, which is responsible for specific mRNA codon recognition, and the 3' end, to which the tRNAs corresponding amino acid is attached (by aminoacyl-tRNA synthetases). tRNAs cope with the degeneracy of the genetic code in two manners: having more than one tRNA (with a specific anti-codon) for a particular amino acid; and 'wobble' base-pairing, i.e. permitting non-standard base-pairing at the 3rd anti-codon position.
Source: RNAcentral